UACAGAGGUCCCAAGCGUUGUUCGGAUUUACUGGGCGUAAAGCGCGCGUAGGUGGCCACAUAAGUCCGUUGUGAAAGUCAAAGGCUCAACCUUUGAAAGCCGAUGGAUACUGUGUGGCUAGAGUACGGAAGAGGCGAGUGGAAUUCCUGGUGUAGCGGUGGAAUGCGCAGACAUCAGGAGGAACACCAAUAGCGAAGGCAGAUCUCUGGGCCGUAACUGACGCUGAGGAGCGAAGGCAUGGGGAGCGAACAGG
Molecule: ribosomal RNA, 253 nt
Filed under: uncultured bacterium
Lineage: Bacteria
Description: partial 16S ribosomal RNA
Rfam family: Bacterial small subunit ribosomal RNA
Source: RNAcentral